GACGAACGCUGGCGGCGUGCUUAACACAUGCAAGUCGAACGGAAAGGCCCUGCUUUUGUGGGGUGCUCGAGUGGCGAACGGGUGAGUAACACGUGAGUAACCUGCCCUUGACUUUGGGAUAACUUCAGGAAACUGGGGCUAAUACCGGAUAGGAGCUCCUGCUGCAUGGUGGGGGUUGGAAAGUUUCGGCGGUUGGGGAUGGACUCGCGGCUUAUCCGCUGGUUGGUGGGGUAGUGGCUUACCAAGGCUUUGACGGGUAGCCGGCCUGAGAGGGUGACCGGCCACAUUGGGACUGAGAUACGGCCCAGACGGCUACGGGAGGCAGCAGUGGGGAAUAUUGCACAAUGGGCGGAAGCCUGAUGUAGCAACGCCGCGUGCGGGAUGACGGCCUUCGGGUUGUAAACCGCUUUCGCCUGUGACGAAGCGUGAGUGACGGUAAUGGGUAAAGAAGCACCGGCUAACUACGUG
This 468-nucleotide ribosomal RNA is filed under the name uncultured bacterium. RNAcentral's name for it is "partial 16S ribosomal RNA". It matches the Rfam family "Bacterial small subunit ribosomal RNA", at positions 28 to 507 of the family's 1533-position model. The record is from RNAcentral.